This 305-nucleotide ribosomal RNA is filed under the name uncultured bacterium. RNAcentral's name for it is "bacterial SSU rRNA". It matches the Rfam family "Bacterial small subunit ribosomal RNA", at positions 334 to 641 of the family's 1533-position model. The record is from RNAcentral.
AGCUCCUACGGGAGGCAGCAGUGGGGAAUAUUGCACAAUGGGGGAAACCCUGAUGCAGCGACGCCGCGUGAGUGAAGAAGUAUCUCGGUACGUAAAGCUCUAUCAGCAGGGAAGAAAAAAAGUCUUUGGCUUUGGACGGUACCUGACUAAGAAGCCCCGGCUAACUACGUGCCAGCAGCCGCGGUAAUACGUAGGGGGCAAGCGUUAUCCGGAUUUACUGGGUGUAAAGGGAGCGUAGACGGCAGCGCAAGUCUGGAGUGAAAUGCCGGGGCUCAACCCCGGAACUGCUUCGAAUACUGUUGGAC